Molecule: long non-coding RNA, 450 nt
Organism: Ctenopharyngodon idella (grass carp)
Lineage: Eukaryota; Metazoa; Chordata; Actinopteri; Cypriniformes; Xenocyprididae
Exons: 3
Source: RefSeq, a predicted model, not a curated record
ACACAUGUGACGUCACUUGGCUGAGCGAGAAAGGCACAGGGCCGCUCCGAGAACAAACGCUGAUUAAUGUGGAUUAAACAACGGCUGACAUUAAAAACACCAACGGAAAGACAAGCUAGACGAGGUGGUGAAACACCCUUCAUUGUAUCUGUAGUGGCAAGCAAGAUGCAGAGAGUUUCUGACAGGAAGAUGAAGCGAGCAGACUCUUUUGACUUGGACCAGAGAGCAACCACCUAGUAACCACCCAGAACACCCUAUCAACCACAUAGCAAAGUGGUAAAACGACUCAGGACACCUUAGCAACAGCAUAGCAACACCCUUGACAACCUCUAACAACACCAGUCAUGGUUUCCUAAACACCCCCUGCAUCUAAAAUUGGCCAGUCAAACCGAUAAUGUGGCUGUGUCGCUCUGGUCUGCAACAAGUAACUACACACAUCUUAUUUAAUGA